Non-coding RNA from Rattus norvegicus (Norway rat), 17342 nucleotides. NCBI's taxonomy places the organism in Eukaryota, Metazoa, Chordata, Mammalia, Rodentia, Muridae. The record is from RefSeq and is a predicted model, not a curated record.
UCCCAAUGGGUAUUUAAGAUAUUGUUUACCUGUGGAGGGAAGUUUUAUGUAUUAAUUUAAAAAGAUUUGUUUUUAUUUUACGUGUGUGAGUGCUUUGCCUGCACACAUAUAAAAGUAAGUUACUCUGUGUGUGCCUGAUGUCUUUGGAGGCCAGAUGAGGACACUGGAGUCCCUGCAACUGGAGUAAGAUACUUUGUAGGUGCAGGGAACAGAACCCAGGUCCCAUGCAAGGGGCCAUCCUCCACAGACACUCUUUUAUAGGUGGGGGUUGCUGAAGAUUAGCAUCAGUGAGAAAAGAAAGGAGGAACUGGACAUGGGGCAGGUGCCAAAACUGGGGAACAGAAAGAUGCUUUUAGAAUUUGGUGUGAGAACAGCAGUUUCCAAAAUGUGGAUUCCCAGUCAAGGCCCUAACCAAGAAAACCAGAAGCACUUCCUUCUGUAGAGAUAGCAGAAAUAAAGACUCAGAACGAAGGACGCUUUUACUCCAUUUGGUUGCAUACCUAAAAGUGUUCUGAAAAGUAAAGUCUAGUGGCAGGGCACACCAUCAUCUCAGCACUUGGGAAUUCAAGGUCAUCCUCAGUGCGAAUUUGCAGCUAACCUAAAAUUCAUGAGACCCCAUCUCAAAACCACUAAAACAAGCAAUGCCCCACCACAAAAAGAAAUACAAACAAACAAAUCAAAGAUUUAUGCUGGGUGGCAGAAGAACAUGCCUUUAAUCCCAUCACUCAAGCCAGGGCUACACAGAGAAACCCUGUCUUGAAAAAACCAAAACCAACCAACCAAACAAAUAAAAUUAAAAGGAUUUAUUUGUUUGUACAUAUGGGUGUUGUUUGUGUGUAUGUCUGCACACCAGAAGAGGGCGUCGGAUCCAGGGAACUACAGACGUAGACAGUUGUGAGCCACCACGUAGGUGCUGGUAUCAAAAGUCUCUGCGAGGGGGGCAAUUGCUCCUAAUGGCUGAGCCAUCUUUCCAACCCAAACAGAGACUAUUUUAAAACUACUACGACCAUCUGGCCAUGGUGGUGCAUGCUUUUAACCCCAGCACUCAGGAAGCUGGCAGAAGCAGUAGGUCUUUGAGUUUGAGGCCAACCUGGUUUACAUAGUGAGUUCCAGGCCAGCCAAAGAUACUUAGUGAAACCCUGUCUCAAAAAACAACCAUUCUCCUUUUUUCUCUCUUCUCUCUCUCUUCCCUAUUCUUGUCUCCGUCAUCCUCAAUAAACCUCUUCCACGUGGAAAAAACAAAACAAAACAAAACAACCAAUCAACCAGCCAACCAGCCAACCAGCCAGCCAGCCAGCAAGCCAGCCAAGCACGCACGCACGCACGCACGCACGCACGCACGCACGCACGCACGCAUGUAACUAGCCAACCAGCAACCAGUCAGUCAGCAAAAACAAGACUAAGGGGUAGAGCACAUCUCUAAUGCCAACAAUCAGGAACCGGAGGCUAGUGGAUCUCUGUGGGUUCCAGGCCAGAUUGCCAGGAACACAUAGUGAAACACUAUCUUGAAAACAAACAAACAACCCUCAAACAGCAACCAUGCAUAAGUCUGAAAAACUCUGAACUUUCCAGGGUAACGAUUUUAGUAUUUUAAAAAAGAACAUCAAAUCUAAAACAUUUCCCUACAUCUUUUUGUUUCCUCGAUGGGCUGACCCACUGAACUCAGGCUUUAAUCAGCUGCAGGAUAUUUCACCUGCCUGUUUUCCGUAGCUAAUGCAGCACUUCUAAAGGAGAAGCCCUUGGACUGGGGGCAGACAGUGGGAUUCAAUCAAGAUCAACGAGAAGCCGGGCAGUAAGUCGCCUCCAAGAUGGCCUUCAAAAUGGUUCCUGCUUCCGGAGCAGAAGCGCGUGUGCACCACAUUGUUUGGAAUGUGCGGCCAGAAGCACAGGGGACUGUCACUUCUGGGACAAGAUCCUUAUUAAACGAGGAACCAAGGCUUGUGACCUCUAGGGACAGAUACAGUUUCUGCAAAGGGCCGAUUAAAGAAUUGUUUGGCAUUCUGACUCUGUUUCCUCAUUUGCGACUGAGGGUAAGUCUUCUAGCUGGCUUCUGUAAGACUGUAGUUCUCCAUCUGUGAAGUGAAGUAGUACUAGUCCCCGUGUCAUAAAAAUAUUGGGAAGACUCAAGGGAAAAUGUAAGCUGGCCGACGUGUAACAAACACCAUGAACUAUUUGCUUCAGGAAGUAAAGCUUGCAGAAAAUUAAUUGAAAGGAGAAUGUAAUUUUUACCUUUUGAAACUUAAAAAAAAUGAUUCAUUUAUCUUUAUCAUACGAGCAUCGCUGUUUUGCCUGCAUGCAUAUCAGUGUGAGGGAACUGGAGUUACAGACAGUUGUGAACUGCCACAUGAGUGCUGGGACUUGAACCCAGAUCCUCUGGAAGAGUAGCUGGUGCCCUUAACCAUUGAGCCAUCCCUCCAGUACCAGAUUGUGAUUUUAAAUGCUUAAUGGGGCUUGUGAGAGUGCUCAGCUGUUCAGAGCAUGCACUGCUUUAACAGGGGGCCUAAGUUCUGGUUUCCAGAACUUAAACUGGUGACUCAUAACUUCCAGUUGCUACUUCUAGCACCAGGGGAUCUGAUGCCCUCCUCUGGCCUCUAAGGGCAGGUGUAUGAACGUGGGUACUCAUACAUACACACAUAUAAAUUUAAGAAUAUUUUAAAAUUAUGCUUCAGCUUUCAGACAGCCAUUAGUCAGAUGGAUUAGUUUCUUCAAAAGCAUAAACUAUUUUUUGCAGAGCGAUUUGGCAGUUUAUCUGAAUGAUAAUUUAUAGCUUGCAAAUAUGAUUCCCUAGUCAUCUUACUUCCAAAGAUUUAUCCUAAGAAAAUAAAAAGAAACCAAAACAAACAAAUAAAACCAUGCAUAGUGGCACAUGUUGUGAUUCCAGUGCUAAGAAGAAUGAGGCAGGUGGAUGGCAAAUUUGUGAGGUCAGCCUGGGAAGAGAGACAGAGAGAGAGAGAGAGGUAGAGAGAGAGAGAGAGAGAGAGAGAGGAAGCGGGAGAGAGAAAGAACACUAAAGACAAGGUCUGGUGUAUGUGGUCUUUAUUGGUGCCUUUUUAGAAUAGAAAAGCAAUUUGAGGGGCUAGGGAUUUAGCUCAGUGGUAGAGCGCUUACCUAGGAAGCACAAGGCCCUGGGUUCGGUCCCCAGCUCCGAAAAAAAAGAACCAAAAAAAAAAAAAAAAAAAAAAAAAGAAAAGAAAAGAAAAGCAAUUUGCAUAUUCCCAAAUAUGGGUAGAUUAAAUAAGCUAUCAUAAAUUUACAUUUUAAAGCCUGAUACUCGUAUAAAACCGUUGGAAGAAAUAUGUAAAUCACCCCAGCUGUGGUUUUCACUGGACUGUGGGAUUAUAGGAAGUUCCUAUUAUAGUAUUUAUGCUUUUCUCUAUUUUCCAAAGUUUUCAUGAUAAAUAUGUUACAUUCACAAUCUGAAUUACUAACACCAGAGAGAAAACUGUUUCCAGUAAGCUGUUAAAGAGGAUCUCACAGAGAUAACACUAGUGUAGUGGAAUGAUAUCCCUUCUAAUCUUCUUAGUCCUUUAAAAUUUUAUUAACAUAUUCUAAUUAUACCUGACAAUGGAUUUUAUUAUGACAUUUUCAUACAUGACUUUAGUACAUUUUUUAUUUUAUUUUAUUUUAUUUUUUUACUUAUUCACUUUACAUUCUGCUUACUACCCUCCUCCUGGCCACUCCCACAGUCCUUCCUCUGUCCCUUCUCCCCUUCUCCUUUGAGCAGGUAUCCCCCCCCCACCCUCUGUAUUCUCCCGUGUUGGUACUUCAAGUCUCUCCCACUGAGGCCAGACAAGGCAGUCCAGCUAGAAGCACACAUCCCACGUACAGGCAACAGCUUUUGGGAUAGCACCAUUUCAGCUGUUUGGGAUUCACGUGAAGGCUAAGCUGCACAUCUGUUACAUUUAAGCUGGGAGGCCUAGGCCCAGCCUGUGUUUGCUCUUUGGUUGGUGGUUUAGAUUCUGAGAGCCCCAAGGGUCCAGGUUAGUUGACUCUGUAGGUCUUCCUGUGGAGUUCCUAUCCCCUUCAGGGUCUCAACCUUACCCCAACUCUUCCCCGAGAGUCCCCAUGCUCCACCCACUGUUUGGUUGUGGGUGUCUGCAUCUGUCUGAUACAGUACAUUUUAAACAUAUUUUCCCCAUAUCACCCUUUCUAGUCUCCUUCUCACUCCCACUAACUCCCUUCCCGUCUCCAGCUCAUCCUUCUAUUUUUAUGUCUUUUAUUCUUGUUUGGAGAACCAAUGUGUUUGAUUAGUGUAUCUCAUGGGAUCAUAGGCAGUUCACCAGUUCCUGAACACAGCAUGGUUUCCUUCCUUAACUACCAUAGAUCCACAGGAAGGGGUGAAGCCUUGUGAGACCCUCACUGCUCAGUGAUGAAAAGUUGGUGAUCCCAGUCUUACACGGGUUGUCACAGUUGCUUAGAGUCCAAGAGCACAAAGGCCACACCAUCCCUGAAAGAGGGAGGGAGACAAUAUUCUGUAAUAUUCUGCCCCUUACAUCUGUCUCUCCACUCCCCUUUCCUCGAUAUUUAAAAUGCCGUGGAGGGGGUGAAAUAAACGUCCCAUGUAAGGCUGAACAUCCAGUGUUACUUAGCUCAUUGACCUGUUACUCUCUGCAGUAACCCUGCUGGCUGGAAAGGAGGCUGCACUAAAGCCAGCAGCGGCGCAAACCAUGGGAAUAAGAACACAUAUUUAGAAGACAGUUUGGGGGCUGGAGAGAUGGCUCAGUGGUUAAGGGCACUGACUGCUCUUACAGAGGUCCUGAGUUCAAUUCCCAGCAACCACAUGGUGGCUCACAGCCAUCUGUCAUGGGAUCUGAUGCCCUCUUCUGGUGUAUCUGAAGACAGCUACAGUGUACUCAUAUAUGUUAAAUAAAUAAUAUUUAAAAAAAGAAGACAGUUUGACCCUCAGUGAAUACAAGAACUGAUUUUAUUUUACUUGUUUACUUUUUGAGACAGGGUCUCACUCUGUAGCCCUAGUUGGCCUAGAGUUCACUAUGUAGACCAGGCUGGCCUAGAAUUCACAGAAAUCCUUUUGCCUUUGCCUCCUGAAUGCUGGACUCCCCCCUCCCUGACCAAGACAGGAUCUCACUAUGAACCCCUGGCUGACCUGGCACCACCACACCUGACGAUUUCAGGUUUUUUUUUUUUUUGAGGUAAGGUCUUGCUAAGUGGUAGUGGUGCAUCCCAGCACUUGAGAAGAAGAGGCAGGCAGAUAUCUGUGAGUUCGAGGGCAGCCUGGUCUACAGAGCUAGUUCCAGGACAACCAGGGCUACACAAAGAGACCUUGUCUCAAAAAAAUCAGACACACACACACACACACACAAUACACACAACACACACACACACACACACACACAGAGACAGAGAGACAGAGAGACAGAGAGGCGGGGGAGAAAUGAUGGUGACUUUGAGCCCAUGAUCCUCCUGCCUCUACUUCAAGUGUACAGAUAUGAGCCGUCUUUCCUUGGAUUCAGAGCUGGUUAGUAAGAGAAGUCUCACCAAUCAAUAGAGGUCUUUCAUCAUCCUAGAACACAUCCCUAGUUGUUCAUAUAAGCCAGGGUCUUGUUUCUAGAGAUGGCUAACUUGGAUCUCAUUCACUAGCCUGCUACAUGGUUCCUUUUUCAGACACAGGGAUGCCAAAAUGUUCCAAUGUCCUUGUUUUAACCAUUGUGGCUUGUUGGAUCAAAGCCUUUGAAUUCGAAACAAGUUAAGUAUCAAUUUUUAAGGAUUAAAUCUUUUGUGAGAGAUAGAACAAGAAACACUUGUCUUCAUCUGAAUCCCAUGGAUGUAUUUUUCACCCCCCAAAUUUCGGAUUUCAAUUCAGAGACCCAUCUUUCUGAAUAACUGACAACGUUGAUGGGACUGGGAGCAUAUGUGGAGCUCACCUUGCACCCCUGAUCAUGCCCUGUACUUGAGCACAGAUAGCGCUCUCUCUCUCUCUCUCUCUCUCUCUCUCUCUCUCUCUCUCUCUCUCACACACACACACACACACACACACACAGCAGCCAGUUCCUUUCUGUUUUUCCAUCCUAUGUCAACUUGGAUCCAUGUUCCUCUUUCCCCCUCAGGGAGACUCAGCUUUCCAUCCAUGGGAUGAAGGCUCCUCUGAGCCCCUUUAUAAUAAUGGGGGUCCUUUCAGAGUGGUGCUGACAUUUUUCUGGAGAGCCAACAGUCUGAUUGCUCAGAAUGGUCUUCAUCCCCAAGGUAGAUGCAGCAAAGUGCUUUUUAAUUUACAUUAGUGCUUCAGCUUAGUGUGUGUGUGUGUGUGUGUGUGUAAGAGAUAAGAGACACAGACACAGACGCAGACGCAGACACAGACACAGACACAGACACAGACACAGACACAGAGAGAGAUGCAGAGGGCUAAAGGCCAGAGAGGGCUUAGAGUUAGAGGAGGUUGUGAGCCACCUGGCUAGGAACUGACCUCGGGUCCUCUGGAAGAGCAGCAAGUGCUUGAAGCACUAAUGUCUCCAGCAAACUUUUAUUUUAUUUUUCCUAAAGACGGGGUUUGGCAAGGCCAGCUUAAUGUAUGAAACAAGUUCCAGGACAGCCAAAGCUACACAGAGAAAUUCUGUCUCAAAAAACAAAAACCAAACCAAGACAAAACAAAAUAGACAGGGUCUUACUAUUGUAGUUGUGCCUGGCCUGGAACUCUCGAUGUAGACCAGCUUGGUCUCAAACUCACAGUGAUCUGUCUCCUUUACCUUUGAGUGCAGGGAUUAAAGGUAUGAGCCAAGAAGCCCAGAGAGGGGGAAAAAGUUUUUUAAAAAUUAAUUUUACGGGGUUGGGGAUUUGGCUCAGUGGCAGAGCGCUUGCCUAGGAAGCGCAAGGCCCUGGGUUCGGUCCCCAGCUCCGAAAAAAAGAACCAAAAAAAAAAUUAAUUUUACAAUUAAUUUGGAGAUCUUCACCACAGUGAAGCCUGAGGACCAAGGGACCUUAAACAUUGAAAACAAAAAGUUAUAAAUUUGUGAAGUAAUGACAGGACACGCAGAUAUUUAGCUUGAGCAGUAGAUUCCGUGGGAAUUUCCAGUAAGUAAGGGAUAAGAGGGUGUUAAAGCUGGUGGGAAAAUAUGAGUAAUUUCAAAGCAAUUUGCUUAUUCAGUCUCACUGAGGCCCCAGUUGCUGGUCUCUGAUGACCAAAGGCAUUCUCCAUCUUGGAAUGAUAGGGACUUUCCUCUCAAAAGAGUCUUUAUGGCUUGCCCCAUGUAGGGAAAGACAGGCAAACGGCCCUGCAUCUGUAGUUUCUAAUUGGUUUCAGCUGGAAACAGUCAAGAUGCCCUUUUGGCACUUUUGGAGAUGCCACAUCUUUAUCUCCAUGUCCUGGCUAGUUUUACAUCAACUUGAUGCAAGCUAGAGUCAUCUGAAAGGAGGGAAUCUAAAUCGGGAAAAAGCCUCCAUAAGACCUGGCUGUAGGGCAUUUUCUUAAUUAGUGUCGAUGGGGGAGAGUCCAGCCCGUUGUGGGUGGUGCCAUGCCUAGACUGAGUUCUGUAAGAAAGCAGGCUGAGCAAGCGACGAGGAGCAAGCCAGUACGCAGCGCCCCUCCAUGGCCUCUGCGUCAGCUCCUGCCUCCAGGUUCCUGCCCUGUUUGGGUUCCUGUCCCGACUUUCUUAGUGAUGUGGGGGUAUAAACUGAACAAACCCUUUCCUCUCCAAACAACUUUUGGUCACAGUGUUUCAUUACAGCAAUGAGAAUCGCGGCUCCCUCAGGGGAAGGAAACCCUCUGGAGUUGAUCCCUUACCAACCUACUGACGUUCCUCCAGAUGGAUCUUCUCCAGUAACGGCUUCUUAGUUGUUCUUUGCCUGCCUUGUGUCCUGUACCAUCCCGCGGACUUCACUCCAGGUUGAAGCUCUGUGUUGGAGUAGAUCUGUUGCAAUCCAAUCCUCAAACCCACAGACCUGAUCCUGUUUCAGUCCCCACCAGUUCCCCUGGUACCCGGGAUGCAGACGUAGCUCGCCACUCUGCCCCUCACACCGGUAACUCAGCACACGUCUACAGCGGAGCCUGGUAAGCCUCAUGCUUUAAAGUCAGACAUUCUUUACCCGAGGAAACUUUUCCUCAUCUCUAACCUCUGCAAGCGUCUUUUCCCCCUAAGCAUUUUUGUUAAUGAUUUGAAAAUUUCAUGUAAUGUAUUGUGAUCAUGGUCACUGCCACUUCUUUUUCUAACUCCUCCCAGAUCCACCCCUACAUCCUCAACUUCAUUCCCGCCCCCCACCUUUAAAUAACCCACUGACUCCAAUUUGUGCCCCCUGAGUGUGGGGCCAUCCACUGGAGCCACAUGCUAAAAGACUGACUCAUUCCCACUCCAAGCCAUUGAUUGACCAUAGUUCCCCAGUCAGGGGUAGAGGCUCACGAACCCCUUCCUUAUCCAUGCUAGAGUAUUGAUUGGCUUGUUCUUAUGUGGGUCUUGCCCAGGCAAUCGAAGCCCCUGGGAGCCCACCUUACCUUUUCCUUUCUUUCUUUCUUUCUUUCUUUCUUUCUUUCUUUCUUUCUUUCUUUCUUUCUUUCUCUCUCUCUCUCUCUCUCUCUCUCUGUCUCUCUCUGUUUUACUUUAAAUUUUUUUAUUAGAUAUAUUUCUUUACUUACAUUUCAAAUGUUAUUCCCCUUCCUGGUUUCCUGUCCAUAAGCCCCCAUCCCCUCCCCUCCCACUCCCCCAUACAGGUAUUCUCCCCAUACAUCCCCUUUACUGCCCCCCCAUAUUUCCCUGCACUGGGGGUCCAACCUUGGCAGGACCAAGGGCUUCCCCUUCCUCUGGUGUCCCAACAAGGCUAUUCUCUGCUACAUAUGCAGUUGGAGCCCUGGGUCAGUUCAUGUAUAGUCUUUCGGUAGUGGUUUAGUCCCUGGAAGCUCUGGUUGGUUGGCAUUGUUGUUUUUAUAGGGUUGCAAGCUCCUUCAACUCUUUCAAUCCUUCCUCUAAUUCCCCCCAAGGGGGUCCUGUUCUCAGUUCUGUGGUUGGCUGCUAGCAUUGACCUCUGUAUUGGACAUGCUCUGGAUGUGUCUCUCAGGAGAGAUCUAUAUCCGGUCCCUUUCAGCAUGCAUUUUUUUAGCUUCAUCAAUCUUAUCUAGUUUUGGUGGCUGUAUAUAUAUAUGGGCCACAUGUGGUGUAGGCUCUGAAAGGCCAUUCCUUCAGUCACUGCUCUAAACUUUGCUUCCAUAUCCCCUCCUAUGGAUUUUUUUUCCCUUUUUUAAGAAGGAGUGGGAACAUCUGCAUUUUGGUCAUCCGUCUUCUUGAGCUUCCUGUGGUCUGUGGAUUGCAUCUUGGGUAAUUCGAGCUUUUUGAGACCACCUUUUCUUUUGCUUGCAACUAUAUAAAACUAUAGAUUUAUGUCUGCUGUCCUUAAAUGAUAUAUUUUUAUUUACAUUUCAAAUGUUAUUCCCUUUCCCCAGUUUCCCAGCCAUAAGUCCCCUAUCCCAUCCCUCUCCCCUUCUUCUAUAAGGGUGUUUCCCCUCCCCAACCAUCCCCACCUUCCUGCCCCACCCCAUGUUCCCCUACACUGGGUGGGAGGGUCCAGCUUUGGCAGGACCAAGGGCUUCUCCUCCUAUUGGUGCCCAACAAGGCCAUCCUCUGCUACAUAUGCUGUUGGAGCCAUGGGUCUGUCCAUGAUACAUCUUCUUGAAGGCUACUUUUUGUGUGUGUGUGUGGGGGGCAACCAUUUAAUCAGUGCUCACUGUGUAUCAGGCUCUGUAUGAGGCAAGAGUUUCCUUCAAAGCUCAUGCCCUUUGUCCAGCUGCUGGUUCGGGCUUGCUAGCUGAAUGACUCAAUGAGUUAUUUAGUCCAAAGUACCUCAAGCUGCACAUGCAUGUGAGUAACUCGAGGGAACUUGUUACAAGGCAGAUGUCACAGAUCCACCCUGAAGCUCUUGAAUCAGAGGCUUGUGGGUAAAGUGUGGGCACCCAUGUGUUUUAUGAGCUUCCUACUGCUUCUGAUGUGCCCCACGUUGUCACUGUUGAGAAGUUCUGCCCAUUCUUCAGAAGCUCAUCCUUGCAGCAUUCCAGGCAGACAGAAUCUCACCCUGAAUUUCAGCUCCCUUAAAAGAAGGAAACCAUGAAUUAUAACACACUAUGUCCCAGGAUUCUCUUAUUUCAAAGCCUUAGGUAUGGCUCUUAUUAAAUUCCUAUAAGAACUGUGCAAGGAAACCAUUUGUCUCCCUUUUUCAAGAGACCCUGAGGCCAGAGAUAGUUGCUUGUCCAGGAGGAAUUGCUGGUGCUGGAACCAGGAACUUCUGGCCUCUGAUACUGUCCCUCUGACACUGAGCUGCCUCCCCGCACCUGCCAUACCCAAUGUGUGUCCAGUUUCCCACUAUCCUCAGUGCCUGGCAUACGGAUGCUGGUCUUGGUGGGUUUUUGACGGUCCUAGGAAAAAUCGUAAAAGACAUGAUAAAUGCUACUCUCCUCAUUGCCUUGCCUCAGGAAAUUGAGAGCAUCAAGCACUCUCUGCUGAUGGCCAGGCAAAAGGAUGCUGAAUCAGUUGACACCACCAAGAGCAAGGGUAGUGUGAAUUUCAAAGUUCUGUGCACCUGACACCUUCGUGUUCUGGUCUCCACAGACAAGGAGAAGGUAAAGACUCUGUAGCAGUCUCUUUGGCAGGGAAUGGGCAGAUAUGAAGCAGUCCUCUUUAUUUGGACCGUAUUAAAAGUCCUGAAAAUUCAAAAGAAAAAGAUGGAGGAGAGGAGGAGGGAGGAUUCAACACAGUCUUUCAAAAUAAGCUUCAUUGUAAAGCUUAAAAAAAAAAAAGAUUGAAUUUUCAGUUGUGUAGGAUAGAGAUUGGAGGAAGCAGGGCUGAAGCCCUUCCUUAAUUGACUGCAGCCCUCUACUUCCAGGGAUUUUUGUCAGAAUUCCAGCUCUUCCUCCUUUGGAGUUUGAACCCCAUUGUAACACAGGAGCCUGACAUACUUUCAAAGCCUGUGGUCCUCCGGACGGGAGACAGGAAGUUGGGCUGGAAUAGGAAAGGGUUUGGAGAGGGCUGGGGUAAUAUAAAUAACUUUCCUGACCUUUGGACAAUGUCCUCCUCCCUUCUCUCCCACCCUCCAGCCUUGCUGUCACUGGCUUCAUUUCUGGUCUGAGAGCAAUCUCCUUAAAGGCACAGGCCAACCUUCUCUGUUCCCGUCCACUUUCUGUCCCGGAUGGACUGGGGGCUUCAUGGGAGCUCUGUUGAUUUGGUAUCUGUAUCUCAAGAUGCAGCCUGGCCUGGUGUACGUGGCCAGCGAGUGCCAUUUAGGUAGCCAACUGAAGAAGGAGCAGUUACAUCGGAAUGGGGACAGCUAGAGAAGUGGUUUGUACAGAAGAGUAUCUGUUCUUCCCUUACUCAUUCAGAGCCCCAGGGCUCAAUGACUGGAGUCUCAUGGUGUUUCCCCCCCAAGGCUGUUUCCUUCUUCAGCUCCUGAGGCUCUUCAUCCUCCUAGUUUUCCAUCCCAGAGGAAGAAACAACCCCACGGUGAGCCCCAGAUGCUCUAGGAUCCAAUGGGGUGUGUGAUAUUGGUGGGCCUGGAAAGACAGCAACACGGGACGGGGCAGGACAGUGAGGGGGUGAAGGGUGCUGCUGAGAUGGCUCAGGGGGUAGAGUCGAUUGCUGCCAAGCCUGGCCUGAGUGCAGUGCCCGGGACUCACAUGAUGGCAGCAGAGAGGAAGAGAGGAAAGAGCUGACUUCUUGAAUUUGUUCUCUAACCUCUUCAUGUGUGUUAUGGUAUACAUGUAGACACACACACACACACACACACACACACACACACACACACACACAAAUAAAUGUUUAAAAAAAACCCCCAGAUUUCAGAGAACCUAGAAUACUGGAAGUUUAGGUGCUUGCUGUCAUCUAACCCCGCUGAAAAAUCGUUCCUGGGGCAUCCCUGCUACUGAAGAUUCCCAGGAGACCCUUGGGUUGAGAGAUUUUUAGUUAUGAAAGUCCACAUGGACCUUAAGCCCAAAUGACGUCCUUGCCAAUAAACCAAAGAGAGCCAGGACCUCUGACCGCUAGAUGUGGUACACGUAUGACAAGCUUGCUGUCAAGUCACCCCUGCCAGGUUGGGAUUAUCUAGAAAAAGAAACUUAUAGAGGCUAAACAAUUUGCCAAGGGCACACAGAACAUGAGGAGCCUGAACUUAAACCAGGAUAUGCCCAGCCCCAAGAUCAGAGUCUAAUCAUAGAGCCCAGAACAUCUUUAUGAGACCCAUUUUUAAUUCCACAUGCUAUCUCGUCAAAAUUCUCACCAUCUUCUAAGCUUCUGCCGCAUCACAAAGGAGUACACCCACCCUUCGUCGCCUGUUCUGGAAGGAGGUAGCCAAAUCACAAACCCCAUGUUAUCUCUGGGGUACAUAUCGUUUAUCUGUGCCUGUCUUUUCCCCUGUGAGUGCACUUGUGUCUGAGCUUACCAGCCACAUCUUCAGUGUCUUUACCUGUGGUUGUCUCUGUCAAUGUUUCCCUUUGUCUGCCAUUCCCUUAGUGUCAUUGUCCCUCAGAGGUUGGCUCAGUCAGUCCUUCUUUUCUGCUCUGUCAAGACCCUCCACUGGUAAAGUCACAUCUAUACAGCUGUCAGUAUUGCUAUUACCGACGGGCUUCAUCUUAGUCAGAAGCCCAAGAAAGAAUCGACUGUGACUGGAAAGUCCGGACCUUGGUCUUUAUUUCUGGCCUGAGCUCUGGAUUGGUAUCGAGUGCAUUCCAGCUGAAUGUCACGCAUUCACCUCUCUUAAAAAAAACAAAAAAAAAAAAAAAACAAAAAAAACCAAAACUUCAUCCUGAUGGUACAGGCCUUCAAUCCCAGCACUGGGAAGUGUGUCUUUGUGAGCCAACCUAGUCUAUACAGCGAGUUUCUGGACAGCUUGGGCUACAUAAUGAGGCACUGCCUCAAAAACAACCAACCAACCUCAACAACCUUAUCAACCUACUCUCACACUUCAGCUGACUUUGUUGCACUUCUAGUAUUUCUUCUCCAGAUCUUCCGAUUAAACGGGAGUAUAACAGCGGCGAAGAUUCUGAAAGCUGGUUAGAUGUGCUCGGUGAAGUCAGGACCGAGAGAGAAGAACCAAGCAGAGACGUUAAGAACAGAAGACAAUCGGCAUCUACUGGGCCAAGCCUAAUUUCCUUCCUAGACCCUUCAAGAUCCUUCCUGACCUAACUCCUCUUAGUCCUUUUCCACUUUCUUAAUAUCGACUCUCUAGCUCGCACAAUCAGCCUCUUCCUCCCAGUGCCCAGUGCCCCGGUUUUUCUCUGAUUCAGCGUGUCACUUGUUUUGUACACAGUUGACUCCAUUGCUGACUUAUUCUUCUAGAUUUAGCCCCACCCCCUCCUACUGUGACAUGUGCAAUGAACCACUCUGAUGUCUAUUAUGUCACAUUUGACAUACCUUCACCUCAAUUAUUAUUAUCGUUUCUUUUUUCUUUCUUUCUUUUUUUUUUUUUUCGGAGCUGGGGACCGAACCCAGGGCCUUGCGCUUCCUAGGUAAGCGCUCUACUACUGAGCUAAAUCCCCAGCCCCCGUUUCUUUUUUCUUGAGGCUGUGUUGACUGUACUGGUCUUGACUUUGUAGGUUCAAGGCAGCCUCCCACAUGAGUUGCCUGAACAUCUGGGACUACAGGUUUCUGACACCACACCUAGCUUCAUAUGGCAAUUACUUCAAUUGCCACACCACCUGCCUGUUUACUUCUCUGUCUGUGAACUCCAUGAGCUCAGAGGCUGAUCUUAAUCAAUAUUUAUAACUCCAGUAUCUAAGAUGAUAGCCCGUCCAUAUAUAUACAUUUAUUGGUCAAACCAAUCGGCGAAUGGGCUCACCUUCUGUCAGAUGGGCGGGCACAAAGAAGACGACAGGGUUGUGUGAGAAGGACCAGAUGACAAGUCAUUUUGGUCACAGAAAAGAAGAAACACCAAUUUUCGUUAGGUCCUACUCUACUCGCCCUGCUACCUGGAAUAGAGAAUCAAGAAAGCCCAGAACAACCUUCCCAAACCGCCGAAGAAGAGAUUUAAAAAUUGAAUCGAAAUAUAUUAACCAUGUGAAUACAAUUAGGAUGAGUUCUUCUUUGGAGGGAAAGUGCAAUCUUUUCAGUGUCUGUGUCAGACGGGGCCCAGCAGCAUUCAACUGAGGAGACUCAAUUACCACCUGUACAGAUGUGGGCAGAUUAACCAAACCGUUACUAAUAUCUGGUUUCCUUUCCCUCUUGGAGUUAUGGAGUCCACAAUAAAAUGGAAUGCUCACUGAGCAGUGGGGAUUUUUAUUCUUGGCCAAGAAUAGAAAUGAAAGAUAACUGCAAAGUAACUUCUCUAAUGGCGUCAGGAAGGUCUAGCCAUCUGUGAAAGAAACAAGGGAGGGAUAGGCAAAUGAAGGACAGAAAGAGUCCCUAUCUUUUCUGGGAAUGAAUAGAAAUUUUCCGGGAAUUUGGAUGCCCCUAUUUUUGUUCUGUUUAUGGUUCUUCCCGGUCACCUGUCACAGUGCUGAGAAGUGUCACUUAGCACGCGAUCAUAGGACUUUAACCUGACCGGUUAGUUAGCUACCUGAAGAGGAACUUCUGGCCACUGGGCAUCCUGUCUUCAAAGAUAAGGUUAGGGCAGGGCAGAAAUUCAGUUAGUUCAAGCAGGCAGAGUAAGACGAGGAUUGGGUAACAAAAUCAGCCAUCGGUCCAGAGACACACUACCAAAGGCCCGAGGUUUUAGGGAGAGAGCCUGGAGUUUGCCAGGAGGAGCAUAGUUUCUAGAAAUGCCGGAUUCUCAGCCUGGUCAAGUAGGCUUUGUUCAUGUUUUCCUCCUGCCCUGGCAGCCUCUCAGCCGAAUUCAGCUAGCAGUGGGAGUCCUGGGAAGUCCUGGGUACUUAAGAAGGACCAGGGGUAUAUCCGGACUGGGUAUGGUGGACACACAUUCAAUUUCAACAGUUGGGAAGCAGAGGCAGCUGAUCUCUGUUGAGUUUAACGCCAGCCUAAUUUACAUAGAGUUCCACGUUACCCAGAGCCAUACAGUGAGACUCUGUCUCAAAACAAAUCAACCAACCACUCCGAAUGAGCAAGAGGACAGUCCUAGAAGCAGCACGGAAGAGAGACUCUAUGUUUUUUGUGGGCCACCUCUUUAUGUAAAUACUUUGCCUACUGGUAGUAAGAUCCUGUGAAUAACAUUUCUAGACCUUAUAUCUUUUGUAUAUUUAGGUAUUUGUAUAUGAAGCUUAUGACAGUAGGUGAAUUAAGUAGAGUUAAGGUAGGACAAUGACCUUUUUUUCUUUCCCCUUUCUUUCUUCUGUGUAACAGAACCCCGGCUGUUUUGGACUCACUUUGUAGACCAGGGUGGCCUCAGACUCACAGAGACCCACCUGCCUCUGCUCCCUGGGCACUGGGAUUAGAGGUGUGCGCCACUAUGCCCAACAACAUGUUUUUUUUUUUUUUUUUUGUUUUUGUUUUUUUUGUUUUUUGUCCGGAGCUGAGGACCGAACCCAGGGCCUUGUGCUUGCUAGGCAAGCGCUCUACCACUGAGCUAAAUCCUCAACCCCCAACAACAUGUUUUUAAAAAAGACUUCUCCAGUAAUUUUGGCUGGCCCCGGUUUUUGAGAACAACUAAUAAAGUUGUGGUUUUUGUGAGCCAACCUAGUCUAUACAGUGAGUUUCUGGACAGCUUGGGCUACAUAAUGGAGCGAUGGCUCUGUGGAUAAAAGCACAUACGGCUCCUGCAGAGGACCAGAGUUCUGUUCUCAGCAGAGCUGCCAUGACACAUCUAGGGAGUUCUGACAACUCUGACCUCAACCACACUCAUUCUCCCCGCCAGUUAGAGAAAUCUUAAAAGUUCACAUUCUCAUCUUUAUAAUAAGGCAAACUAGGGUCCAGAGAAACAAAAAUGCCUGGCUUGACUACUCCCUUAGGUGAAGGGGAGGGUUUAUAAAUGUAUGAUUUUAUAACCCGUUUAUGGGAAACUGAGGCCCUGUAGAUGGAGUAGCAAAUGCCCAAUUACACCACCGGUAAGUCCAAGGCAAGGAGGAGCCAAGUCCAUAUUGCUCUCAGUUCAAUGUCUCAGUUCAAUGUUCUUUCCGAGCAACACAUUUGGUAAUAGUGUAUAUGACAAAGCCUUGGGGACAGCCAUUCUCAUUUCUCCCUCGGAUAAUGUAGGUGAGAAGCUCCUAACUAGGAAAAAAACCCCCAACAGCAACAACAAAAAAUCCCUCAUGAAUAUGCCUAGAGAUUAGGCAUGUGACUCCCCUCCCUCAAACUUUGACCCUCACCUUUUUGGGAUGCGAUUUGGAAUUUUAGGUUGUCAAUACUGUCACUAGGAAAAGGGCUGUCCCUCUCUGAGGGGAAGUUAGGUUGGUAGUUUAGGGACCAGGAUGUCUGGGGAAGGCCUGGAGGAAAAUGAAGAGAACGACCCCAGGAAGGGCUCACUGGAGAGAGUUCAGUGUGUGUCUCUCCCUGGCCAGCACGAGGCUGGGGUCCAGCUCUUUGCCUUCCCAACAGCUGACACCACAGACCACAUUCCUGCCCUUUCGGAUGUAUUUGGAAACCUGCAUUUCCAUGAAGACUGCUAGGAUAGACUUGUACUUCCCUUUCUUGUACCUUUCCCUUUCUUUAUCCUACACUACUUGUCUGGAUUGAGCAGAGAGCCUUAGAGGUCACCCAUGCAUUUUACAGUUGAGGAAAUCUAGGUGAGAGAGGCAGAGGCCAUGGAAGCAGCAAACACAGCUGCAUUGCAGUCCAUUUGACUCCUUGCCAGUCCAUCCACUUCUGAACACACACUUCUAGACAUGCUCCAACCUAUAAGUAUUAUAACUAUUACACUGCAUUUCUGGCCGUCAGUUUACAUUCCUUUGAGUCCUCUGGUCACUGUUGUUGCAGCUGUGAGGGGUGUGUGAUCAAGGCAACAUAGUGCCUGUAAUUUAUUUACUCGUUGCUGUUAUGGGGUCCACAUAUAGGCUGCUGCUUGUUUUCUUCCUUGGCUUUUGUGGUAUGGUGAGGGAUGACGGUCAACCCACAGCUCCCUUUCUGUAGCUUUAUUUGUUCAGUGCACAAGUGUCCACGCUUGCUUAGUGCUACUACGAGUCUAUAUAGUACAUCGUGUGCCUGGAUACUUAUCUCUUACCAGGCUGAAGGUUGAGAGUCUGUUCACCCUCUCGUGUCCAUUGGGAGGUGUGACUACACUGUCAAAGCCUUAUCGUAAAGGAAUUGCAUCCGCCUAGAUAGUACGUUCAAAGGUUGACGAGAAUCUGCCUUUCUUUUUAUCAGGACAAGAUGCAUCUCCUGUACUCCCAGGGCAGCGUUGUGGUCGUCUCUUAGUCAAGUUAACUCCUCAACCUUUGGGGUCGCAGUCACGUUCCGGGAUGCCCUGGCACGCCUCCCUAAGAGGCGUGGCCUUUCAGCCACGCCCACGCUCAGAGGGUGGGAGGGCCUCCUUUU